Molecule: ribosomal RNA, 235 nt
Filed under: uncultured bacterium
Lineage: Bacteria
Description: partial 16S ribosomal RNA
Rfam family: Bacterial small subunit ribosomal RNA
Source: RNAcentral
CGGACGGGUGAGUAAUGCGUAAGCAACCUACCUUUUAGUGGGGGACAACCCCGGGAAACUGGGGCUAAUACCGCAUGUGGUGCUGCGACAUAAGUCGUAUCACUAAAGCCUUCGGGCGCUAAUUGAUGGGCUUGCGUUCGAUUAGCUUGUUGGUGGGGUAACGGCCUACCAAGGCGACGAUCGAUAGCUGGUCUGAGAGGAUGAUCAGCCACACGGGGACUGAGACACGGCCCCG